GUAUUAUCCAUAGUUCGUUAUUACUGGAAUGUUUUUCGAACGAAAGAUCCGUCGCUUCAGGAUGAGUCUGCGGCCGAUUAGGUAGUUGUUGGGGUAAUUGCCCAACAAGCCUGUAAUCGGUACGGGUUGUGGGAGCAAGAGCCCGGAGAUGGAUUCUGAGACACGAAUCCAGGCCCUACGGGGCGCAGCAGGCGCGAAAACUUUACCAUGCGGGCAACCGUGAUAAGGAAACCCCGAGUGCCAGCACAGGCUGGCUGUCCGCCAGUUUAAACAACUGGCGAAGAAAGGGCCGGGCAAGACCGGUGCCAUCCGCCGCGGUAAUACCGGCGGCUCGAGUGGUGGCCGCUAUUACUGGGCUUAAAGGGUCCGUAGCUUGAUAAUAGGGUCCCUUGAGAAAUCCGCCGGCUUAACUGGCGGGCGUUCAGGGGAAACUUGUUUUCUAGGGACCGGGAGAGGUGAGGGGUACUGCCGGGGUAGGAGUGAAAUCCUGUAAUCCCGGUGGGACCACCUAUGGCGAAAGCAUCUCACCAAAACGGGUCCGACAGUGAGGGACGAAAGCUGGGGGAGCAAACCGGAUUAAAUACCCGGGUAUUCCCAGCUGUAAACUAUGUGCGUUAGGUGU
RNAcentral lists this ribosomal RNA (622 nucleotides) under uncultured archaeon. RNAcentral's name for it is "bacterial SSU rRNA". It matches the Rfam family "Archaeal small subunit ribosomal RNA", at positions 147 to 774 of the family's 1478-position model. The record is from RNAcentral.